GCGGGCGUGAUGGAAUGGUAGACAUAGGGGACUUAAAAUCCCUAGGGCAUGGCCCGUGCGGGUUCGAGUCCCGCCGCCCGCACCA
Molecule: transfer RNA, 85 nt
Filed under: Palleronia abyssalis
Lineage: Bacteria; Pseudomonadati; Pseudomonadota; Alphaproteobacteria; Rhodobacterales; Roseobacteraceae
Description: tRNA-Leu
Rfam family: tRNA
About the family: Transfer RNA (tRNA) molecules are approximately 80 nucleotides in length. Their secondary structure includes four short double-helical elements and three loops (D, anti-codon, and T loops). Further hydrogen bonds mediate the characteristic L-shaped molecular structure. tRNAs have two regions of fundamental functional importance: the anti-codon, which is responsible for specific mRNA codon recognition, and the 3' end, to which the tRNAs corresponding amino acid is attached (by aminoacyl-tRNA synthetases). tRNAs cope with the degeneracy of the genetic code in two manners: having more than one tRNA (with a specific anti-codon) for a particular amino acid; and 'wobble' base-pairing, i.e. permitting non-standard base-pairing at the 3rd anti-codon position.
Source: RNAcentral